CUUUGGAAUUUGACUCCUUUGUGUGUGGUGCUACACACACACAGUGGCCAACACUGCUGGUCUCAAAAGCCAAGCAAGGUUGGAUCUGGCUAGUACUUGGAUAGGAGACUAUCAGGAAAUCCCAGGAGUCCAGAUU
RNAcentral lists this ribosomal RNA (136 nucleotides) under Salvator merianae (Argentine black and white tegu). The record is from RNAcentral. Lineage: Eukaryota; Metazoa; Chordata; Lepidosauria; Squamata; Teiidae.